This 243-nucleotide ribosomal RNA is filed under the name Pycnococcus provasolii. Its description in RNAcentral is "partial Bacterial small subunit ribosomal RNA". It matches the Rfam family "Bacterial small subunit ribosomal RNA", at positions 535 to 777 of the family's 1533-position model. Lineage: Eukaryota; Viridiplantae; Chlorophyta; Pseudoscourfieldiophyceae; Pseudoscourfieldiales; Pycnococcaceae. The record is from RNAcentral.
CAAGCGUUAAUCGGAAUUACUGGGCGUAAAGCGCGCGUAGGUGGUUUGAUAAGCGAGAUGUGAAAGCCCCGGGCUUAACCUGGGAACGGCAUUUCGAACUGUCAGGCUAGAGUAUGGUAGAGGAGUGUGGAAUUUCCUGUGUAGCGGUGAAAUGCGUAGAUAUAGGAAGGAACACCAGUGGCGAAGGCGGCACUCUGGACCAAUACUGACACUGAGGUGCGAAAGCGUGGGGAGCAAACAGGA